GAUUUCUGAUUGACCACCCUGGCCCGUGGCUAUCUGGUCAUGAGUGCUGGUGUGAGUCUGUCAUCCUUCUAGAGAGCCAUGCCUGCUGUUCACUCAGCUGGGCGUGUGCGAUCUAGAUCAUUUACUUUGAAAAAAUUAGAGUGUUUAAAGCAGGCUUAUGCUGUGAAUACAUUAGCAUGGAAUAAUAAUAUAGGACUUCGGUUCUAUUUUGUUGGUUCAUAGAAUUGAAGUAAUGAUUGAUAGGGAUAGUUGGGGGUGCUAGUAUUCAGCGGCCAGAGGUGAAAUUCUUGGAUUCGCUGAAGACUAACUACUGCGAAAGCAUU
RNAcentral lists this ribosomal RNA (323 nucleotides) under uncultured Euglyphida. RNAcentral's name for it is "SSU rRNA". The stretch from base 61 to 323 matches the Rfam family "Eukaryotic small subunit ribosomal RNA", at positions 691 to 955 of the family's 1831-position model. The record is from RNAcentral. Lineage: Eukaryota; Cercozoa; Imbricatea; Euglyphida.